Long non-coding RNA from Cryptotermes secundus, 415 nucleotides. RefSeq lists it as uncharacterized. NCBI's taxonomy places the organism in Eukaryota, Metazoa, Arthropoda, Insecta, Blattodea, Kalotermitidae. The record is from RefSeq and is a predicted model, not a curated record. The transcript is spliced from 2 exons.
ACAACGGGAAGGGUGUUCUCAUCAAAUAUCAUCACCCCUGGAGUCUCCUUCGCGGCGGCUCUCCGAGGCAACACAUUACAGGAGCGACAAACACCAGUGGCAGUUCCACCAGCAGCCACGAAACCGAGCGUCCCGAUCCCUGUACUGGAACAACACGCAGAUAUUGGCAAUGGAGGAUGUUCACACCAGUCCAUGCCCUCAGUUCAUGAAUGAUGACAGCGCCCAAGAAAAUUGUGACUAUGUGAUGUUGGUGGAUGGCCAGCAAUUGACAUAUGUGCAGGCACCUGUAUUAGAAAUUACCAACAUACUGAGGGACAGUCCUGGUGUUGUCAGUCUGAUAGCUUUUGUUCAAUUCGAGCUCCGAAAAUGGGAUUUUAUGGAUAAAUUAAAUUUAAUAAAUACAUAUUUUAGACUA